Molecule: unclassified non-coding RNA, 268 nt
Filed under: Glomus sp.
Lineage: Eukaryota; Fungi; Glomeromycota; Glomeromycetes; Glomerales; Glomeraceae
Description: partial contains 5.8S ribosomal RNA and internal transcribed spacer 2
Rfam family: 5.8S ribosomal RNA (bases 1-65)
Source: RNAcentral
GUGAAUCAUCAAAUUUUUGAGCGCAAAUUGCACUCUCCUCGGAGAGUAUGCCUGUUUGAGGGUCAGCCUAUAAAAAAUCGACAUCGUUGAUGUUUUGUGGUGGUGUUUGUCGGAAAUUGGGCUAUCUUAAAUCCUUUUGAUUUAAGCGACUUAAAAUUUUUUUUUGGUUCCAUGAACGUUUUUAAGAUCUAUUUCUUUACACGAUUAAGGUAUCGAUUUUUACUAGACGUGACUAUCAUAUUGGAUCGCGUACUUAAUUUUUCAUAAA